This 404-nucleotide ribosomal RNA is filed under the name uncultured bacterium. RNAcentral describes it as "bacterial SSU rRNA". It matches the Rfam family "Bacterial small subunit ribosomal RNA", at positions 355 to 776 of the family's 1533-position model. The record is from RNAcentral.
UGGGGAAUAUUGCACAAUGGGCGGAAGCCUGAUGCAGCAACGCCGCGUGCGGGAUGAAGGCCUUCGGGUUGUAAACCGCUUUCAGUCGGGACGAAGUUGACGGUACCGACAGAAGAAGCACCGGCUAACUACGUGCCAGCAGCCGCGGUGAUACGUAGGGUGCGAGCGUUGUCCGGAUUUAUUGGGCGUAAAGAGCUCGUAGGUGGUUUGUUGCGUCGGAAGUGAAAACUUGGGGCUUAACCCUAAGCUUGCUUUCGAUACGGGCGGACUUGAGGGAGGUAGGGGAGAACGGAAUUCCUGGUGGAGCGGUGGAAUGCGCAGAUAUCAGGAGGAACACCGGUGGCGAAGGCGGUUCUCUGGACCUUUCCUGACGCUGAGGAGCGAAAGCGUGGGGAGCAAACAGG